GCUAAAAAAGAGUUAGCGGGAAUUAAAAUUAUUCACUGCCGCCCUUAGUAAAAAUUUGGGCUCCAACGAAAAAGACUAAAAUCUGGGCUCCAAUUAAAAGUUUAUUUAACCUAAUUUUUUUCCCUUUUGCUCUAUAACCUUUGACAUUCUUCCCCUUUGUUUGAUUUUAGAUAUUUCUUCGCUUUCCCUUUUGUUUGCUCUCUAGUUCUUUCGUUCCUGUUUGCUCUCUCUUUCGAAUUUUGUUCUCCUCUCCUUCUCUCUUCUUUCACUGUAUCUUAGUAUCCUUCCUCCUAAAACCCUAACCUCUCGCAUCCAUCGCUUGUCACAAAACCUCGCCGCCAAGCAAGGAUUUCCAAUCUGAUUCUACAACCAAACCCUGGAUCUUGCCUCUCAACAAGGACCGCUCCAAUCGAUGUUCAAUACUUUGCUCGCAAUUUUGUUUUCUGGAUCUAACAACCUAAAUCUGUCAUCAUCUUUGUCAAAGCCAGAGCUCCCAUUAACCAACCAGCUUCGCUCUCUCCGAAUACAUGGAGCAACACGACACUGAAAAUGCCUUUCUCAAAUGUUCAAUUGAUUACUCAGAUGGCUCUUAUUCCUUACCUCUCACUAACCGUGAAGUUCAGGCUAUCAUCAUCACCAUAUUACCCUUUACAUUUCUCUGCGAUUGGUUUCUUAUGGAUGGCUAGCAAAGUAGCAAUAUCAUCUUGUUCAAGGAUAUUUUUGUUGUCGAUAAGCUGCUGAUGGCAAAAAAAAUUGAUAAAGGGGCUUUUUGUUAAAUGGUGGUGUGCUGUGUUGUAGUCAACUAGAGAAAUCAAGAUUGUGAAUACACCUUGGUGAAUAUAUGUAUCGAUCUUUAGACGUUUCCAAAUAGAAAACAAUUGUGAUAUGUAUUGUUGUUCUUAAUUAAAUACAGAUCUUUUUGGUUUCUUAUUAAGAAUUUUUAUUAUUACAAUUAUUGAUUAUUUUGGGUCUUUGUAAAAAUGAUAUUAGAUCUCUUAUUAAUAAAAUUCAAAUUCAAAA
This is a long non-coding RNA of Arabidopsis lyrata subsp. lyrata, 1020 nucleotides long. RefSeq lists it as uncharacterized. The transcript is spliced from 4 exons. NCBI's taxonomy places the organism in Eukaryota, Viridiplantae, Streptophyta, Magnoliopsida, Brassicales, Brassicaceae. The record is from RefSeq and is a predicted model, not a curated record.